This 253-nucleotide ribosomal RNA is filed under the name uncultured bacterium. Its description in RNAcentral is "partial 16S ribosomal RNA". It matches the Rfam family "Bacterial small subunit ribosomal RNA", at positions 524 to 776 of the family's 1533-position model. The record is from RNAcentral.
UACGUAGGGGGCAAGCGUUGUUCGGAAUUACUGGGCGUAAAGGGCGCGUAGGCGGCUGAGCAAGUCGGGGGUGAAAGCCCGGGGCUCAACCCCGGAAUGGCUUUCGAAACUGCUGAGCUAGAGUACAGAAGGGGCAACCGGAAUUCCCAGUGUAGCGGUGAAAUGCGUAGAUAUUGGGAAGAACACCUGAGGCGAAGGCGGGUUGCUGGGCUGAUACUGACGCUGAGGCGCGAAAGCCAGGGGAGCAAACGGG